Molecule: ribosomal RNA, 472 nt
Filed under: uncultured bacterium
Lineage: Bacteria
Description: bacterial SSU rRNA
Rfam family: Bacterial small subunit ribosomal RNA
Source: RNAcentral
ACUCCUACGGGAGGCAGCAGUGGGGAAUAUUGGACAAUGGGCGAAAGCCUGAUCCAGCCAUGCCGCGUGUGUGAAGAAGGUCUUCGGAUUGUAAAGCACUUUAAGUUGGGAGGAAGGGCAGUAAGUUAAUACCUUGCUGUUUUGACGUUACCAACAGAAUAAGCACCGGCUAACUUCGUGCCAGCAGCCGCGGUAAUACGAAGGGUGCAAGCGUUAAUCGGAAUUACUGGGCGUAAAGCGCGCGUAGGUGGUUCAGCAAGUUGGAUGUGAAAUCCCCCGGGCUCAACCUGGGAACUGCAUCCAAAACUACUGAGCUAGAGUACGGUAGAGGUGUGGAAUUUCCUGUGUAGCGGUGAAAUGCGUAGAUAUAGGAAGGAACACCAGUGGCGAAGGCGACCACCUGGACUGAUACUGACACUGAGGUGCGAAAGCGUGGGAGCAAACAGGAUUAGAUACCCCUGGUAGGAUAGCG